Non-coding RNA from Chloroflexi bacterium RBG_13_57_8, 263 nucleotides. Lineage: Bacteria; Bacillati; Chloroflexota. The record is from Rfam.
UCGUGCUAGAUGGGGAGCCAGCGGUGCCCUGUACCUGAAAUCCGCUAUAGCAGGGUUGAAUUCCUGUCUGAGGCUUUUAUCUGGUGGGACUGCCCGUGUUAAGUGGCGUUGAAGGCCGGGUCCUGCGCGGCGGAGUGCUAUGAACCCCGUCAGAUCCGAAAGGAAGCAGCGGUAAAUAGUUUUAUCCGGGUGCCGCAGGUACGCCUGGCUGGAGCCGGCUGGCCCGGGUAAGCCGUUAGGUGGAGUCGAGGGCGGGUGCACGG